Molecule: unclassified non-coding RNA, 340 nt
Filed under: Hevea brasiliensis (rubber tree)
Lineage: Eukaryota; Viridiplantae; Streptophyta; Magnoliopsida; Malpighiales; Euphorbiaceae
Source: RNAcentral
AAAAAAAGAAGAAGAAGAAAGAAAAAGAUGGUAAUUGUAUUGGUAUAUUUUGCUUUUGUUUAGAGUAAAUGUUGUAUUUUCUUCUUGUUGAAUGGGUGUGAGUGAAAUUGCUUGUGCAUACAAUAUAUCCUUUCCUUCUUGAUCAUCCAAUUCAAUCUCCAGAUUCCAUGGGAGAAGAAGCAAUUAUUGAAGAUUGCUUUUAAUUAAUUUGUUACUGAUUGGCCUAAUUGUACCUAUCAUAUCUUAUUUCCCAUAUUAAAGUAUGAGACAUAUGUAUAGACUAUAUAUUUCACAUUUUGAAAAAUAAUAUUACAAUCACUAUAUUUGUACAGUUUUUUUU